AAUAAUAAAAUAAUGUAAUUUUAUUUACAUUCACGAAAGUUAUGCGAGCUACGUAAAUCAUAAUAUUAGUUAAUAUAGAGUAUGUUUCAUAAUACUUAUGAUAGGUUUACUUAGAGGUGAUAGGCCCACAAGCUAAUUGAUAUCUUGAUGCGUAGGAAAUAUAUUUAGUAUAUAGGCACACUGCAAAAGUCAAGCUUGGCAGUUUUGAUAAAUUAAAAUAAUAGACGUUAUUUAGUAUAAUCACUUGAUAUUGUUUUUACAAAUAUUAUUCAUAUUUUAUUAUCAGUAGUACUACGCUAUAUAUUUUAUGUAUAAUAUGAAUUAUGUUAUUAUUAGUAGUAAAUCAAAUAUUAUAAAGGAACUCGGCAAACAAUUUUUCAACUGUUUAUCAAAAACAUAGCUGCAUGAAGUAUUAUAUGUAGUUACUUCUGCUCCAUGGUUUUACUAAAUAGCCGCAGUACUCUGACUGUGCAAAGGUAGCAUAAUCAGUUGGCUCUUAAUUAGGGUCUGGUAUGAACGAAUGUAUGGAAAGUAGCUGUCUCUAUAAUAGAUUCCAAAAUUGGUAGUAAGUGCAAAUCCUUACAUAUAUCUAAUAGACGAGAAGACCCUAGAAGCUUAAAAAAUUUUUUGUUGGGGCGACAGAACUACAAUUAAACUAGUUUUAUAAUACAAGACGUAUACUGUAAGAUAAAGCUACUCUAGGGAUAACAGCAUAAUGUAAACGUUUGUGACCUCGAUGUUGGACUAGGUAAAACGUCCUCUAGAAGAGGACUUUUUCGGCUCUGUUCGAGCUUUUGCACCUACAUGAUCUGAGUUCAGACCGG
RNAcentral lists this ribosomal RNA (824 nucleotides) under Iberus splendidus. Its description in RNAcentral is "partial 16S ribosomal RNA". Lineage: Eukaryota; Metazoa; Mollusca; Gastropoda; Stylommatophora; Helicidae. The record is from RNAcentral.